Molecule: small nucleolar RNA, 76 nt
Organism: Drosophila gunungcola (fruit fly)
Lineage: Eukaryota; Metazoa; Arthropoda; Insecta; Diptera; Drosophilidae
Product: small nucleolar RNA CD11
Exons: 1
Source: RefSeq, a predicted model, not a curated record
UUAUUCUUUCAUGAUGAAUGAUUUGAGCAGAAGAGUUCUUGAAGACUAUAUUCAUCACCCAAGACUGAAUAUAACG